Drosophila pseudoobscura is the source of this 401-nucleotide long non-coding RNA. RefSeq lists it as uncharacterized. The transcript has 2 exons. The record is from RefSeq and is a predicted model, not a curated record. Lineage: Eukaryota; Metazoa; Arthropoda; Insecta; Diptera; Drosophilidae.
GUAUACACGGACCUAGAUAAAUUUAGGGCUGACCGGCCACGGCCAGCGAUCAGCGAGCCCACGUCAGGUCUCCGUAGGGGCCCGAGUUAAAUUAACUCCCGUAAGACGGAUCCAGUCUCCACUCAUCUACACAUAUUCCAGUACGAAUGGGUGAGGGUAUCCCUGUUGGUUAAACGAAAUUUCAGCAGUUAUUUCCGUGUUUGUCUUUGUGUCGAACGUUUUGGUGUUUCUUUUUGGUUAGGGAUAAUUUUGAGUAUAGCUAUUUAUUAAUAAGAAAUUUGAAAUUGUCAAUGUAUAAUUAUUAAAGCUUGGAUAUAGACUGAAGUAUGAUGCAUUAAAUUUAAAAUAGAGGGAGGACGCGUGGCGUAAGCCAUGGAUUAGGCCAGCCGUUACCGUUCCAG